This 267-nucleotide ribosomal RNA is filed under the name uncultured bacterium. RNAcentral describes it as "partial 16S ribosomal RNA". It matches the Rfam family "Bacterial small subunit ribosomal RNA", at positions 793 to 1055 of the family's 1533-position model. The record is from RNAcentral.
GUCCACGCCCUAAACGAUGGGCACUAAGUGUGGGAGGUAUCGACCCCUCCCGUGCCGCACCUAACGGAGUAAGUGCCCCGCCUGGGGAGUACGGCCGCAAGGUUGAAACUCAAAGGAAUUGACGGGGGCCCGCACAAGCGGUGGAGCAUGUGGUUUAAUUCGACGCAACGCGAAGAACCUUACCCAGGCUUGACAUGUAGGUAGUAGGAACCUGAAAGGGCAACGACCCCGCAAGGGGAGCCUGCACAGGUGCUGCAUGGCUGUCGU